AUUGAACGCUGGCGGCAGGCCUAACACAUGCAAGUCGAGCGGAUGCAGGGAGCUUGCUCCUGGAUUCAGCGGCGGACGGGUGAGUAAUGCCUAGGAAUCUGCCCGGUCGUGGGGGAUAACGUCCCGAAACGGGCGCUAAUACCGCAUACGUCCUGAGGGAGAAAGUGGGGGAUCUUCGGACCUCACGCUAUCAGAUGAGCCUAGGUCGGAUUAGCUAGUUGGUGGGGUAAAGGCCUACCAAGGCGACGAUCCGUAACUGGUCUGAGAGGAUGAUCAGCCACACUGGAACUGAGACACGGUCCAGACUCCUACGGGAGGCAGCAGUGGGGAAUAUUGGACAAUGGGCGAAAGCCUGAUCCAGCCAUGCCGCGUGUGUGACGAAGGUCUUCGGAUUGUAAAGCGCUUUAAGUUGGAAGGAAAGGCAGUAAGUUAAUACCUGGCUGUUUUGACGUUACCGAAAGAAUAAGCACCGGCUAACUUCGUG
Molecule: ribosomal RNA, 484 nt
Filed under: uncultured bacterium
Lineage: Bacteria
Description: partial 16S ribosomal RNA
Rfam family: Bacterial small subunit ribosomal RNA
Source: RNAcentral